Molecule: ribosomal RNA, 326 nt
Filed under: uncultured bacterium
Lineage: Bacteria
Description: bacterial SSU rRNA
Rfam family: Bacterial small subunit ribosomal RNA
Source: RNAcentral
CUGGGCUACACACGUGCUACAAUGGUCGGUACAGAGAGCAGCCACUACGCGAGUAGGAGCGAAUCUAUAAAACCGAUCUCAGUUCGGAUCGCAGUCUGCAACUCGACUGCGUGAAGCUGGAAUCGCUAGUAAUCGCAUAUCAGCCAUGAUGCGGUGAAUACGUUCCCGGGCCUUGUACACACCGCCCGUCAAGCCGUGGAAGCUGGGGGUACCUGAAGUCGGUAACCGUAAGGAGCUGCCUAGGGUAAAACUAGUACUAGGGCUAAGUCGUACAGGUACCAGGGCGAUUCCGCACACUGCGCCGUAUAGUGAUCCGAGCUCGUACC